Rattus norvegicus (Norway rat) is the source of this 682-nucleotide non-coding RNA. The record is from the annotation of a RefSeq genome assembly. Lineage: Eukaryota; Metazoa; Chordata; Mammalia; Rodentia; Muridae.
ACACUGCCUGUUGCUCAGACUGAGAGCUGAGCUGAGCUGAGGUGGAACAGACACACUCCUGCAGAGGGACAUGUGCCACAUUCCUCCUCAGAGCCUGCUCUGUGUGCUGGUGGCCUUGGCUUUGUCUGGAUGUAAUAUGGCCCAGAAAGUGACUCAGGCUCACUCAUCAGCAAGCAGGCAGGAGGGGGAAGAAGUCACCCUGGAGUGUUCAUAUGAGACAAGUUAUGGCUCAUAUUAUCUUUUUUGGUACAAGCAGCUUCUUAGUGGAGAGAUGGUUUUCCUUAUUCUCCAACCUUCUUUUGAUUCUCAGAACCAGAGGAGAGGCCGCUAUUCUGUAAUCUUCCAGCAAUCACUCAAGUCCAUCAGCCUUGUCAUUUCAGCCUCUCAGCCAGAGGAUUCGGGGACGUAUUUCUGUGCUCUCUGGGAAACUGACACAGUGUUUGAAGUGAUAGCACAAGCUGAACAAAAACUGGGGCUCCUUAAGCAGAGGCUCCCUGAGAGAGGGAGCCCAGCUGAGAUGCACACCUGCACAUCCUGAACAAGAAGAUGUCAACUGUGGAUGCCCCGUCUGUGGUCUGCAUGAGAACUGUGUUUCUAAGUAAAACCUCAGGGCAUGCAAUUUAGAAAUAAUUAUCGUGAGCGGCUUUGUAUACUACACUGACUUAAAACAGAGUUAAAAAUA